CGGGGCUGCGCGGGGCCGGGCUCACCGGGCGGGCUGCGGUGAGUGGGGCCGGCCGAGGGCUCCUCCCCCCGCCCGUGUACGGAGCCCGGGAGCCCGCGCCCGCCCACCCGCCCCGCAGCGGCCGGGCUCCUGGGCCAGCGCGGCGAGGCCUCGGCUGUCCUUGCCGGAAGGUGAGACCGUCGUCCCCCAGGCACGUGGAGGACGGGAGACGUGCCUCCUCUGGAAGGUGCGGAAAACGAACGCCACUCACCCGUGCGGGGCCCACCAGACCAAGAAAUGAGGACGGGCCAACAAAGAUGCUGUCCUGCAGUGUGUGCGCCAGAGUGACCAAGUGACCACCUCAUGCCAGAUCUUCAUCCAUAUCCGCCCACUGACUGUUUAUGAUUCCAAGUAGCUGUGGUUCAGGAUGGAACAGACUUCACCAGGAUGAUCAAAUGAAGCCCUACCAUCAGCAUCCACCCAAGAGCAUGUCUGCUAGCGUGUAGACCGUGUGCUGGGAACUAUGUGUGUAUGCAGCGGGGUUCAGCUCACAGGGCUCCCUCACCCCUUCUUAGGAAACUCCCAAAUAAGGCACUUUCCCUCUUAUGUCUGGAGUGAGAGGGUUGGAGCGGGGCAGAGAGGAGAGGGCACUUAUCCCACAGCCACUUGUGAGCAUAUCACGGUUUACUCAACCCAUAUCUUUUCAUUCAGCAGCCAGUGCACUCAGGCAGUAUACCCAGACUGCCUGUGCCAAGUUGUGUUGACAGCACAUGGGAGAAUAAAAAGAAACAGAAGACAAUGGUUCCUCCUAUGGGGGGGUGCAUGUGGUAACACAUGGAGAGGGGACUUGAGCUUGCAAAGCCACCAGACAUCAACCAAAAGUGAUACGUGAAAAUGUGCUGAC
This 883-nucleotide long non-coding RNA is filed under the name Equus caballus (horse). RNAcentral describes it as "lncRNA (ENSECAG00000052029.1)". Lineage: Eukaryota; Metazoa; Chordata; Mammalia; Perissodactyla; Equidae. The record is from RNAcentral.